CCAAAAUUCCACCCUUUGGAUUUGGCCGAAAAUUCCCAAAAACAUGGCACCAAAUUUUAGCUCCAAUAUUCAUGCUCAUAUGAACUACAUCUACAACAUUUGAGAUGGUAAAUUUUCUAACAAAAUUUACAUUCAAAGAAACAAGAAUAAAGCUUGUAACAUAUUACAAUAUUUAAAUCAAAGACUAUGAACUACAAAACCCAAAAGGAUUCACCAAUUACUAGACCUAGGCUCUGAUACCACUUGAAGGAAAUUUUAUUAAAAACAUGUUCAUUUAAGCAACAUCUAUAGCAUGCAAUUAACAAUUAAAAGG
RNAcentral lists this long non-coding RNA (313 nucleotides) under Malus domestica (apple). RNAcentral's name for it is "long non-coding RNA (MDOM_LNC010392)". Lineage: Eukaryota; Viridiplantae; Streptophyta; Magnoliopsida; Rosales; Rosaceae. The record is from RNAcentral.